AUGUUGUCUGUAGCUCUGCUGCUGCUGCUGCUGGCAGCUGGAUCCUGUGUGAACAGUGAGCAGUUGAAUCAACCAGCGUCUCUGACUGUCCAGCCAGGACAACCACUGACCAUCACCUGUCAGGUCUCUUAUUCUGUUAGUGACUAUUACACAGGCUGGAUCAGACAGCCUGCAGGAAAAGGACUGGAGUGGAUUGGAGAUGAAGACAAUACACCCAGAGGGAAGUUCAGUAUCUCCGUAGACAGUUCCAGUAACACAGCGACUCUAACAGGACAGAAUAUGCAGCCUGAAGACUCAGCUGUGUAUUAUUGUGCCCGACGCACACAGUAA
Non-coding RNA from Lampris incognitus (smalleye Pacific opah), 330 nucleotides. The record is from the annotation of a RefSeq genome assembly. NCBI's taxonomy places the organism in Eukaryota, Metazoa, Chordata, Actinopteri, Lampriformes, Lampridae.